AUUAGAUACCCUGGUAGUCCACGCCGUAAACGAUGAUUACUAGGUGUCGGUGGGUAUGGACCCAUCGGUGCCGCAGCAAACGCAGUAAGUAAUCCACCUGGGGAGUACGUUCGCAAGAAUGAAACUCAAAGGAAUUGACGGGGACCCGCACAAGCGGUGGAGCAUGUGGUUUAAUCCGAAGCAACGCGAAGAACCUUACCAAGUCUUGACAUCUGGAUGACGAGGACUUAAUCGUCCUUUCUCUUCGGAGCAUCCAAGACAGGUGGUGCAUGGUUGUCGUCAGCUCGUGUCGUGAGAUGUUGGGUUAAGUCCCGCAACGAGCGCAACCCUUAUCUUCAGUAGCCAGCGAGUGAAGUCGGGCACUCUGGAGAGACUGCCGGGGAUAACCCGGAGGAAGGUGGGGAUGACGUCAAAUCAUCAUGCCCCUUAUGAUUUGGGCUACACACGUGCUACAAUGGCGUAAACAGAGGGAAGCGAGCCCGCGAGGGGGAGCGAAUCCCAAAAGUAACGUCCCAGUUCGGAUUGUAGUCUGCAACUCGACUACAUGAAGCUGGAAUCGCUAGUAAUCGCGGAUCAGAAUGCCGCGGUGAAUACGUUCCCGGGUCUUGUACACACCGCCCGUCACACCAUGGGAGUCGGAAAUGCCCGAAGUCUGUGACCCAACCUUAGGGAGGGAGCAGCCGAAGGCAGGUCGGAUGGCUGGGGUGAAGUCGUAACAAGGUAC
RNAcentral lists this ribosomal RNA (724 nucleotides) under uncultured bacterium. Its description in RNAcentral is "bacterial SSU rRNA". It matches the Rfam family "Bacterial small subunit ribosomal RNA", at positions 777 to 1499 of the family's 1533-position model. The record is from RNAcentral.